GGCUGUCAAACUUAUCCUACACACUAAUUCGUUCAUCAAUUUUAAUUUGGUUUGCUUAAAGACUCGAACUUGACCACUGAGCUGCGAUCAAGGUCCAUCUUAAUCUAAUCAAAGAUAUGGACUUGACCAACUACAACUAUUUUAUUGGUUCUAGAGAAAUUCAAAUUUAAUCUAGUUCAAUUUUUGAUUAGAUUUAAUCAAUUUUUCUAUUAAGUCCAUUGAUUCUA
Molecule: long non-coding RNA, 227 nt
Filed under: Elaeis guineensis (African oil palm)
Lineage: Eukaryota; Viridiplantae; Streptophyta; Magnoliopsida; Arecales; Arecaceae
Description: long non-coding RNA (EGUI_LNC050261)
Source: RNAcentral